CAGUAGCCGCGGGAAUACGAAGGGGGCUAGCGUUGCUCGGAAUGACUGGGCGUAAAGGGCGCGUAGGCGGAUUGCGCAGUCAGAUGUGAAAUUCCUGGGCUUAACCUGGGGGCUGCAUUUGAGACGCGUAGUCUAGAGUGUGAAAGAGGGUCGUGGAAUUCCCAGUGUAGAGGUGAAAUUCGUAGAUAUUGGGAAGAACACCGGUGGCGAAGGCGGCGACCUGGUUCAUAACUGACGCUGAGGCGCGAAAGCGUGGGGAGCAAACAGGAUUAGAUACCCCUGUAGUCCCUGUCUCUUAUAC
RNAcentral lists this ribosomal RNA (301 nucleotides) under uncultured bacterium. Its description in RNAcentral is "partial 16S ribosomal RNA". It matches the Rfam family "Bacterial small subunit ribosomal RNA", at positions 509 to 807 of the family's 1533-position model. The record is from RNAcentral.